Long non-coding RNA from Spinacia oleracea (spinach), 1022 nucleotides. RefSeq lists it as uncharacterized. Lineage: Eukaryota; Viridiplantae; Streptophyta; Magnoliopsida; Caryophyllales; Amaranthaceae. The transcript has 5 exons. The record is from RefSeq and is a predicted model, not a curated record.
AGGAUGCGUGGCUCAAAAGCGCUGCAGAAGGAAAAAUAAGAGACGCGCGCUUUGAAAUAUUUUACUCCCUUAGUCUUUCAAAACUCGCGGCCUCUAAAAAAAAACCUAGAAACCUCGCUCAAGCGGCUCAACUCUCUCAAGUAAUACACCACUCUGCCUCUCUCUAACCUCGUUUAUUCCUUCAAUCAGCAAAGUCUUAAUUUUCGCUCAAAUUUGUAUUGGUUAAGAGCGAAAUUACACAGAAUCAAAUUAGGAAAAUUGUUGAUGAACAAGGCGGGCUAGAAGUAAGCUUAAAUGAUGAUCCUGUUGCAAAGGUAUUAGGUAAAGAUCAAUAUAGCCGUGUUCGUGGUUUGGGAUUAGGGGUCAAGCCGUCAGAUUUUGUAGAAUCUUCUGGGCCAUCACGUCAUAAAGGCCUAAACAUGUCCACAAAAGAUGAAACAUUGGUUCUGUAUUAUUUUCGCAAACUGGAGGGUUUAACACAAAGACUAAGAAAACGUGUCAAAAGUCAGGGAAUGACCAUACAUAAGUUGAAAAGGAAGCUCCAAACACAUUAUGGUUCUGACUUCGAUAAUUCUGACUCGGAUGGCUUAAGUGAUUCUGACUCUGAUGGUUUAAGUGAUACUGAAGCUGGUGAAUCUGAUAUUCCGCUAACAGACAAGGGUCAAAAUGCUUCAACUUCUAACAAUGAUGGUUCUCUUUUGCAACGCUCAAAUUAGUUGUUGGUUUAACUUCCCAAGGAUUAAUCUACGAAGCAGCGAGAUAGAGAAGUAGCUGAUGGGAAAUUAUGUGGCGUAGUAUGACGAUCGAGGACAACACGUGCCCUUGAUUUUUAUUUUUUUAGGAACAACGCUUGUAUGCUCUUUCUUAAUUAAGCAAGCAGCAAGCUGAACAUUUAAAGAGUAUAAGAAUAUUGAUUCCAGAUUUAGCAUUUGAUGUUCUAGAUACACUAGCAUACCUUGAAUUGUCUUGAGGACUAGCAUACCUUGAGUUGUCUUGAAGGAUACAUGUUUGGUUGUUACUUU